RNAcentral lists this ribosomal RNA (306 nucleotides) under Triticum aestivum (bread wheat). Its description in RNAcentral is "partial small subunit ribosomal RNA". Lineage: Eukaryota; Viridiplantae; Streptophyta; Magnoliopsida; Poales; Poaceae. The record is from RNAcentral.
AUGGCCAGAUUCAGUGUGCCCCGUGUGGGCGUUGAUCUCGAGACCGGGGCACUGAACCGGGCAGAGGCAGACCCUGAGCCUGAGCGCGUGGGCGCAUGUGAGCAUUGCCUAAUCCUGCAUCCACGGCAAAGGCAGCGACUCGUGACACGCUUUGCGACCUGCUUUCUUUUCGAUGCCCUUUGGGGCGGCUACAUACAUACAUACAUAAACCUUUUUUUCUCUUGCCAAAAGGUCCAGGUGAAUAUUUUUCGAGUCGAUCUAAGUAAUUUUACAUCCGUCGUUAAACAGAUAGAUGAUGACGCCUAA